RNAcentral lists this ribosomal RNA (1562 nucleotides) under human gut metagenome. RNAcentral describes it as "bacterial LSU rRNA". It matches the Rfam family "Bacterial large subunit ribosomal RNA", at positions 414 to 1973 of the family's 2925-position model. The record is from RNAcentral.
AGCGCGGAGCACGAGGAAUUCUGCGUGAAUCUGCCGGGACCAUCCGGUAAGGCUAAAUACUCCCGAGAGACCGAUAGCGAACCAGUACCGUGAGGGAAAGGUGAAAAGCACUUCGAACAGAAGAGUGAAAUAGUUCCUGAAACCGUGCGCCUACAAGCGGUCGGAGCUCGUUAAUGAGUGACGGCGUGCCUUUUGCAUAAUGAACCUACGAGUUGCCUUUGCCGGCAAGGUUAAGUGUGACGACACACGUAUCCGAAGCGAAAGCGAGUCUGAACAGGGCGUAUAGUCGGCAGUGGCAGACGCGAAACCAAGUGAUCUACCCUUGGCCAGGUUGAAGGCUGGGUAACACCAGCUGGAGGACCGCACCAAUAAGCGUUGAAAAGCUUCUGGAUGAGCUGAGGGUAGGGGUGAAAGGCUAAUCAAACUUGGAGAUAGCUCGUACUCCCCGAAAUGCAUUUAGGUGCAGCCUUGCGGGUUACUGAUGUGAGGUAGAGCGACUGAUAAGAUGCGAGGGCUUCACCGCCUAUCAAGUCUUGACAAACUCCGAAUGCGCAUCAGUUCUACCGCAGGAGUGAGGGCAUGGGUGCUAAGGUCCGUGCCCGAGAGGAGAAGAAUCCGGACCACCUGCUAAGGUCCCGAAAUGACAGCUAAGUUAAACUAACGAAGUCUGACUGCUAAGACAGCUAGGAUGUUGGCUUGGAAGCAGCCAUUCAUUUAAAGAGUGCGUAACAGCUCACUAGUCGAGGAGUCGGGCGUGGAUAAUAAUCGGGUAUCAAGUUGUCUACCGAAGCAGUGGGAUCAUUAAUAUGAUCGGUAGGGGAGCAUUCCAGUCAGCGUCGAAGGCGUACCGUGAGGUAUUCUGGAGCGUCUGGAAAAGCAAAUGUAGGUAUAAGUAACGAUAAAGGGGGCGGGAAACCCCCUCGCCGAAAGACUAAGGUUUCCUGAUCAACGCUAAUCGGAUCAGGGUCAGUCGGGUCCUAAGGCUCAGCCGAACGGCGAUGCCGAUGGCAGAAACGGUUAAUAUUCCGUUACUACCUUCAGGAGUGACGUGGAGACGCAGUAGUGACAGUGCCGCCAUCUGACGGAAUAGAUGGUUGAAGGGUGUAGGAGUCGAUCAUGGCAGGCAAAUCCACCAUGAGAUCCGAACCUGACAGUAUGCCGCGUCCUUCGGGACAAGGCAAUAGUGCGCGUAAGCAUGCUGCCGAGAAAAUCCGCUAAACUUAAUCCUGCAGGUACCCGUACCGCAAACGGACACACGUAGUCGGGAUGAAUAUUCUAAGGCGCUUGAGUGAUUCACGGUUAAGGAACUAGGCAAACUGACCCUGUAACUUCGGGAUAAAGGGUCCCUACCCUUUUAUGGGAGGGCGCAGAGAAUCGGUCCAGGCAACUGUUUAACAAAAACACAGGGCUGUGCCAAAUCGAAAGAUCCAGUAUACAGCCUGACACCUGCCCGGUGCUGGAAGGUUAAGAGGAGAUGUCAUCGAUAAGAGAAGCGUUGAAUUGAAGCCCCAGUAAACGGCGGCCGUAACUAUAACGGUCCUAAGGUAGCGAAAUUCCUUGUC